GGCAAUCAGAAGUGACUUUGAAAAAAUAAUAAUAAUGCUGUGAGGUAUUAAAUGUGUUUGCAUUCUCCAUCAGUUUAUCCUUCCUCCCUCAACUAAUGUUACCCAUGUUCCUGGGUGUGAUGUUUGGGUUCUUUAAAACACAAUUCAAAUCCCUUCACUUUUAAAUACUUUAGAUACUUUUAAAUACUUGUGUGUUAGAUUUGAUUGUCAGUGAAUAAGACUGGAUUUUUUGUACAUGUCUACAUUAGUUUAGUUAAUAUUUGUAUUCAAUAUAAUAAUAAUAACGAUCAAUGCCUCAUGCUACAUAUAGUCUGUGGGGUUUUUUGUAUGCUGUCUGUGAUGCAGCAUUAUAGAGGUACUUCUGAUCAUCUGAUUCUACCAGGAUCACAAUACCAUCUGCUCAUCUGCAAGCUCUCUUCAAACCAAUGUUCAAACCAAAAUUCUCCCAUAUCACCCCUGUGUUAAAAUCCUUGCACUGGCUUCCGGUUGAGUAUAGAUAUCAGUUUAAAAUCCUCACUUUUACAUUCAUGUCCCUACAAGGUGAGGCCCCCACUUAUAUCACUGAGCUUCUCCAACCCUACUCUCCACACCGGAUCCUUAGAGCCACUGAUUCCAUGGACCCGUUUGAAAACGAAGGGGGAUCCCGCUUUUCAAACCUUGGCUUGAAUAUUAUGGAACAGUUUACCUCCCCCGCUACGCACCAUCAACUCUGUAGCUACUUUUAAAAAACAACUCAAAACACAUCUGUUUAGACAGGCAUUUAGGUAAUAUUCAUGUGUAGUGUACUGUUUUAGUGGAUAUGCUAUUAUACCCUCUUUAUAGUGUUUUAUUUUUCGUUUGGUUUGCUUUUAUUCCCUCGUGAAGCACUUUGAAAUAACUUCCUGUUUUAAAAAGUGCUGUAUAAAUAAAUUUUACUUACAAUGUUUUAUUAUCUGAAAGAGGAACCAUUACAUCCUCGAAGAUAAAAACAGCAAAUGAAUUAUUCCAAAUACCAAAAAGGUAAAUUAUACAUGCAGUGCAUCUGGAAAGUAUCCACAACACUUGUUCCACAUUUUGUCACGUUACACCCUUAUUUCAAAAUGGAAAUACAUUCAGUUUUAAUUCACGUACACAAUAUUGCGGGAUUGGUGACUUUUUACUUAGAGUGCUUUUAGUUUUUGGGGUGCUGUGCAGCCUGAUAUAGGGAGAGUCUGAUCAGACCCAGCUGCCCUGCUAGGCUUCCUGGCACUGCCCCACCCGGCCACAACGAGUGAACUUUUUGGCCUAAAUGCAAAGUGUCCUCUCUCAAGGAAAUUGGGCUCAUCAUCUGGCCAAUACCAUCGCUGGCACACAUCCACAUGCUGUGAGGAUGUGAGAUCAAGGGAAAAAUGAAUGCAGUCAUGUACAGAGAGCCUUGAUGAUAACCUGCUCCAGAGUGCUCACUAGGCCGGACUUGACCGAAGGUUUAUAUGCCAAGAGCACACAGCCAAGAUAACAGUGGAGUGGCUUCAGGACCACAGCCCCGACCCAAGUGAUCAUAUCUGGAGCGAUCUGAAAAUGGCUGUGCAAUGACGCUCUGCAUCUAACCUGAUGCAGCUCGAGAGGUUAUGCAAAGAAGAAUGGAAGAACCUGUUGAAAAAUAGUUCGACUUGAGGCUUUAACAUGCAACAUUUGGAGUUAGGCUGUAUAGCUUCUGCUUAAACACAAAAACAUCUGGUUGAUAAAACUCUUGAUCACCUCCCUUACAUGACAAAAUGACAAACAAGUAAAGUGCUGAGAAUACUUUUGUGAUGUAUUGGGUAAAGCGUUCAGGGUCACCUGAUCUAUUCCUGCCAAUAAGCUUUAAAAAAAUGUAAGCGCCCAGUUUGUCUCCCAAAUACAAACUGGGCACUGGUUCCACAGAGAAACUUGAAGCCUCUACCUCCCGUUCUACUGUUAACCCUAAAACACUAAUGUCAGGUGAUUUUCACCCACGUAAAACUGAUAGUGUUACAAAACUCCACAUUAAUAUAGUUUUUUGCUCUCACAAGUAAACUGAGAGUAAAGUGUUGUAUUGAGGUGAUGUGGUUCUAAGUAAGAUGGGGCCUGUUACUUCAUGUAGUAUUGGCAGUUGGGCAUGGAGGACCAGAUCUUUGUCAUGAGCUUAUCUUUUAGGUGGAGAAGCAUUCAGUGCGUUCGAUGCAUUACCUGUCCUUUGGGAUUGAUACCUAAUCUCACAGUUGGACAUGCUGGUAUCUCCCCCUGACCUGAUUUAAAAUCUGUGAAAUUAAAAAAAACACUCAAUGAUGUAAAAAAUUUAAAUUUCAAGGAAAAACCCCUGAAAUUGGCUAGCAUAAAUUCUUAUAGUGUCCACUAAUGGAAAAGGGGUGGAACAAUUACUGUUAAAUGAAAGCGUCCAAACUGAACCACUGAACAACAGCAGCUUUAAUCAGGGAGGUGAUCAAGAGUUUUAUCAACCAGACGUUUUUAUGUUUAAGCGGAAGCAAUACAGCCUAAGUCCAAGUACACAUUGUUUAAUAGUGUUUGAGUACAGAAAAUGGCUUCUGGGACACUUAGAAAUUACAAAACAUUUUGGGAAAGCUACAAACAUCAGCCACACUUGAAUCUAGGAUUCCAUCCAUCUAUCUUCUUCCACUAUCCGUGGCCAGGUUGCAGGGGCAGCAACCUAAGCAGAGUGGUUCUGCUCUGAGCCCCUAAUUCCUCACCCUAUCACUAAGGGAGAGGCCAGACACCCUUCGGACAAAGCCCAUUUCCACCGCUUGUAUCCACGAUCACGUUCUUUCAGUCACGGCACGUGGGCAUAUGUGAUGGUAGGGAUGUAGAUCGACUAGUAAAUUGAGAUCUUCGCUUUUACACUAAGCGCUCUCUUCCCCAAACUGGACCAGUACAACAUCCGCAUCACUGCAGCCGCAGCACCAAUUCGUCUGUUCCCGUCACUCGUCAACAAGACCCCAAGAUAUUUAAAUCGCUCCACUUGGGGCAGGAACUCGUCUCUGACCCGGGGUGGGGAAUCCAUCGUUUUCCAGCUGAGGACCAUGGCCUCAGAUUUGGUGGUGCUGAUUCUCAUUCCCACUGCUAGGAUUCCCCAAAGUACUAAAAGGUUAGGAGUUGAUUACAUACACACUCUAUGAAAUACUCAAAUAGAGGUAAACAUUCGCCAAAAAAUGAGCUGGACACUGUCAUACAGUAGAAAUGCCCAAUCAAUCUGAAAUGGAGAAUAACUCAAGUGUUACCAUCUGUAGGAUUAGAUUUUGAUUUUGUUUAAAGACAGAAGAAUAAAUGGAGAGGGCUUAGAGAAAAGAUAGCAAAAUAGUACUUCCUAGUGAGUUUAGAAAAUGUGUUGCUGUUACUCGACUACAGGUCUUGGUUGAACUCUUUCUAAUCCCUUUAAUCUCCCCCUAAUCCCCUCCAUGUUGGGGGCAUACUUGUGGGUUGCAAAAUGGUCCAAACACACUCCAGUGAUACAGCUCACACAAGCAAUGAAAUGCAACACUUUUGAGGGUUUUGGAAGACACCUUUAGGAUUCCUAUAUUUGAUAUUUGCGCUUGUGCACGGUUGUCCCAAAGAAUUAACUACUAUGGUAAUAAAUCUGAUUUCUGACUUUCUAAAUGCUGCUUCUGUGCUUAGAUGCAGAAGCUUUUCCCUGCAUUCUCUAAGUCUCUCUUUCUCUGCAUCACAGUGGCACUCAGUUGCAGUGUGAAGAAGAGUAAUCCAGCAGAAGCUCUUCAGAUACUCUCCUCUACACGCCUCAGUCUCAGGAGUCUGGCCACCAAAGCCAAGCAAAUCCACACAGACGUGGCCACAGGGAGGAUCCAUGCUGAGCUGCAGGACGGCGUUACUGCUGUGGAGCAAGUCAUCACCGAGCUGCAAGAUCUGAGUGGGAAGCUGCGUAACCAGUCACAGUGACCAUCCAUCUCUAAUAUGCCCCUUUUGUGGCAAAAGAGACAACCUUUGGUUCUCAGGGGUCCUCAGUAAGACUGAGUAAUAAAGACCCAAACCAGCUCUACACCUGCAUUUAUCAUCACAGUGUAUUACUGAACCUGUUAAAUAAAGCAAGCCAAAGGACUGAAUUUGUAAUCCUAUUUUUAUACCUUUAUGUCCACUUUGAAAUGUAAACACUCACUGGGUGGCAUCUUAAUAUACAAUGUUAAAAAUUUGAAUGCUUGCUUUGAUUUUUUUUGUUGUAAAUGAAGUGAUAAAAUCACCUUUAUCUGUGAUAAACAAAGUGAUCAGUUGACAGAUUUUGAAGCUGCAUCCAUACAGAAUAGGCUCUCGGGACAGGAUACAGCUUUAGGUCAUCUGUAUCUGUAAAUAUUUAGAUCCCUCUCUCAUCCACUGAAGAGACACAUGUAAAUGUAGUAAAAGAAAUAGACCUAGAUCGUAAAAAUGUGAUUGGUACAGUAGGUUACUGUACCCAUUGUGGUAAUUUCUGCAGAACAGAACAUGGAAGAAAAAUCGAGCCUCUAUUCCAACUUCUUUGUCGGACAUAUUUCAAGAUGCAUACUCUAAAAAUCUUAAAUCUAGGCUCUUUCUUUUUUUAUAUACCUAUUCAGUUCAAUUUCAUUUUAUUUAUACCUGCUAUCAGCAAGCACUGGGAAACACGACAGUGGGAAAGAAAAACUCCCUUUUAACAGGAAGAAACCUCCAGCAGAACCAGCCUCAGGGAGGGAUGGCCAUCCACCACGACCAGUUCGGGUGAUGGGAGGAAGACAGGGAAGAGAGCCAGAGAUUAAUAACAAGUGACGAUUCAGUGCAGAGAGGUCUAUUAACACACAGUGAGUGAGAAAGGUGACUGAUUCCCCAGCAGGCUACACCUAUUCCAGCAUAAAUAAGGAAGGAUUCAGGGUCUCCUGAUCCAGCCCUACCUCAUCUGAAGUAAAUCCGCAGUCCGAGAGGGAAGUGCACUAAUGGGGUGAUGUGGUACUACAAGGUCAUUAAGAUAAGAUGGGGGCUGGUUAUUCAAGACCUUGUAUGUGAGGAGCAGGAUUUUGAAUAAAUGAAGGGAAGCCAAUAUAGCUCUAUUUGUGCUAAAAUAAUUUUAUAGUCAACUAGGAAAUGGCACUGAUCUUAACCAGCCUGGAAUAAACAAACUUGUCUUGUCUUCCCCUUUCAGCCAAUAACACAUGUAUGUAUCCAAAUAGUUGCUAAGACUAGAUUUGUAUGAGGUGUGUGCUAUUUUAUAAACUGCCACUAGCUUAACAACUUGCAUACAUAAACUUUACAUGCUAGUUGGUAAAUGGAAAAUAGACUGGUUAUAUAGCGCUUUUCUACUCGAGCACUCAAAGCGCUUUAUACAAUAGUAACUAACAGAUUAGUAAAGUCCUAUAAAUGUACACAUCAAAGCUGAAGUCAAAUUAUUUUCUAUUGAUUUACAUUAAAGAAAUGAUCCAAAAGGCACAACAGUAGCACAACAGUACAGUGACUCAUAUUAAGAAAGGCGAGGCUGCUAUUAAGGUGCUUAUGUCAGCAACAACGUGAUAGAUACAUAAAUGGCAGCAAUUAAAAAAACAUCCAAGCAGAAUGUUUUAUUAUAUCGGAGUUGUUUUGAUAUUGUAGCUGUAGUGUAAGUUCUUUCUAGAAUAACUCAAAAUGAUUGACUUUUUCUGUCCUUCAUGAAUAUUUAAGUGAAAUUGAUUCCUAACACCAAGUCUUAUCUCUUAAAGAAUUGGUUGCAUAAAGAAAAAUUGUAUACUAGAGAAGCAGACUUACCUUUCCCUUUAAUCUCCUAACUACCUAAGUUACUCAGCUCUCGAACACCACCUCCACUCAUUGUGUUCUCACUAAUAAAAAGGCUAUUAAAAACCAUGAGCCAUGCUCUGAUGCUCUGCGAGAUCAUUUCCCAACUCAUCCGACAUGGUGAGCACACACACACGCAUCCCAUUUCCCUGCAGUUCAUACAGGGAGGAGACCACCAUUUGUUUCCUCAACUAGAAGAAAAAUGACCUUGACAUUGCUCAGGUUUUUUAUCUCCCUUCUUUUUUCAGUGUAUUGGAGCUCGUGUUUUAUUUUUCUCUGCCCAUUUGUCACAAGAGCCAGAACCUCUGUUUUGAAAGUAUUACCACAGCGAUAAGGACUUAAAGGCCCCUAUAAAUGGAUGAUCUCGCAUGAGGGAGUGGAGCACUGUGACAAUGUAAAAUGUUGAUGAUUGCACUUUGACAGUUGCCUUCAUGGUAAAUUCUCUGAGCUAAUAUUCAUGUUUGAAUCCACAUUUCCAGCCUCACUCCAGUUAUUAAAUAAAAAUGGCAAGAAGAAAUGACCUAUUUUAGUCAUCAUUCAUGACCACAUUAUAUCACACCCACAGGAUCUCUCAGCACUGGUGACUAAUCUUCCUAAUAUGAUUGUAAAUUUACCAAAUGCUAUUAUUAGAUAAAGUCCACAAGAGUGAUUUGCUGCUGUUCUGUCAUCACCCAGAGGACAGCUUUGAUAAAAGAAAACACAAGUUUGAUUGUUUCGUGCCAGACUUGCGCUCCCAGAAUUCCUGGUAUUUCUCAGCAGGGGCUGCAAAGCUGAUGUCAGCAUUCACAAAACUCCCAUUACCUCACACUUUAGUUCAUGCGGCAGGGAUAUUAUUUCAGUUGGACAAAAUCUCUUCUCAAAAGAAGCAACAACAAAAUCUGUCACUUGCACUUGAAAAACAAAUGUUUACAGCAUCCCAGAAGGUAUUGUUUUCUUGAAAUCGUGUAAAUCAACUGGUUCUUAUAUGGUGUUUUUCUACUAAAUAUUAAAUUGCAAUUUGAUCCAGUGUA
RNA transcript from Haplochromis burtoni (Burton's mouthbrooder), 6725 nucleotides. RefSeq lists it as uncharacterized. The record is from RefSeq and is a predicted model, not a curated record. The transcript has 2 exons. NCBI's taxonomy places the organism in Eukaryota, Metazoa, Chordata, Actinopteri, Cichliformes, Cichlidae.